RNAcentral lists this ribosomal RNA (468 nucleotides) under uncultured bacterium. RNAcentral's name for it is "partial 16S ribosomal RNA". It matches the Rfam family "Bacterial small subunit ribosomal RNA", at positions 28 to 507 of the family's 1533-position model. The record is from RNAcentral.
GACGAACGCUGGCGGCGUGCUUAACACAUGCAAGUCGAACGGAAAGGCCCUGCUUUUGUGGGGUGCUCGAGUGGCGAACGGGUGAGUAACACGUGAGUAACUUGCCCUUGACUUUGGGAUAACUUCAGGAAACUGGGGCUAAUACCGGAUAGGAGCUCCUGCUGCAUGGUGGGGGUUGGAAAGUUUCGGCGGUUGGGGAUGGACUCGCGGCUUAUCAGCUUGUUGGUGGGGUAGUGGCUUACCAAGGCUUUGACGGGUAGCCGGCCUGAGAGGGUGACCGGCCACAUUGGGACUGAGAUACGGCCCAGACUCCUACGGGAGGCAGCAGUGGGGAAUAUUGCACAAUGGGCGGAAGCCUGAUGCAGCAACGCCGCGCGCGGGAUGACGGCCUUCGGGUUGUAAACCGCUUUCGCCUGUGACGAAGCGUGAGUGACGGUAAUGGGUAAAGAAGCACCGGCUAACUACGUG